GUGUCGGGUUUGGACGGGAAGCGGAUGCGGCCGGUGCCGGGUCUGGUCGAUGUUCGUGCGUUAUGUUCGUUUUAGCGAGUUAGUAUUUUAAUAUAAUGCGGCCUCAAAAACUGUAUAUAUUUAAUAUGACACUCGCGAAAAUCGUCUUACGUUUCGGACUGGAUCCGGACCCGCGUUCUCCGGCCUUCCGCGGAUCUUCCUAGCCGUAAGGUCGUGUCGGUUUCGUUUCGUGCGCGAUCGGCACGAUUCUGUACGACCGCCGUUCAACGGUCAGCUCAGAACUGGCACGGACAAGGGGAAUCCGACUGUCUAAUUAAAACAAAGCAUUGCGAUGGCCCUCGCGGGUGUUGACGCAAUGUGAUUUCUGCCCAGUGCUCUGAAUGUCAACGUGAAGAAAUUCAAGCAAGCGCGGGUAAACGGCGGGAGUAACUAUGACUCAAUUAAGGUAGCCAAAUGCCUCGUCAUGUAGCCAGUGACUCGCAUGAAUGGAUGAACCAGAUUGCCAUUGUCCCGGCCUACGAU
Non-coding RNA from Bombyx mori (domestic silkworm), 522 nucleotides. Lineage: Eukaryota; Metazoa; Arthropoda; Insecta; Lepidoptera; Bombycidae. The record is from Rfam.